This 301-nucleotide ribosomal RNA is filed under the name uncultured bacterium. RNAcentral describes it as "partial 16S ribosomal RNA". It matches the Rfam family "Bacterial small subunit ribosomal RNA", at positions 509 to 809 of the family's 1533-position model. The record is from RNAcentral.
CAGUAGCCGCGGUAAUACGUAGGUCCCGAGCGUUGUCCGGAUUUAUUGGGCGUAAAGCGAGCGCAGGCGGUUAGAUAAGUCUGAAGUUAAAGGCUGUGGCUUAACCAUAGUACGCUUUAGAAACUGUUCAACUUGAGUGCAAGAGGGGAGAGUGGAAUUCCAUGUGUAGCGGUGAAAUGCGUAGAUAUAUGGAGGAACACCGGUGGCGAAAGCGGCUCUCUGGCUGUAACUGACGCUGAGGCUCGAAAGCGUGGGGAGCAAACAGGAUUAGAUACCCGCGUAGUCCCUGUCUCUUAUACAC